Non-coding RNA from Paragonimus heterotremus, 77 nucleotides. Lineage: Eukaryota; Metazoa; Platyhelminthes; Trematoda; Plagiorchiida; Troglotrematidae. The record is from the annotation of a GenBank genome assembly.
GGCCGGGUUAGCUCAGUUCGUGGAGCAUGGGAUUAUUGAUCCCAGGGUCGUGGGUUCAAGCCCCACACCGAGAGCCA